UGGGGAGUAUUGGACAAUGGGGGCAACCCUGAUCCAGCAAUGCCGCGUGGGUGAUGAAGGCCUUCGGGUUGUAAAGCCCUUUCGGCGGGGACGAUGAUGACGGUACCCGCAGAAGAAGCCCCGGCUAACUUCGUGCCAGCAGCCGCGGUAAUACGAAGGGGGCUAGCGUUGUUCGGAAUGACUGGGCGUAAAGGGCGCGUAGGCGGCGAUUUUAGUCAGGCGUGAAAGCCCUGGGCUUAACCUAGGAACUGCGUUUGAUACUGGAUCGCUUGAGUGUGGGAGAGGAUGGUGGAAUUCCCAGUGUAGAGGUGAAAUUCGUAGAUAUUGGGAAGAACACCGGUGGCGAAGGCGGCCAUCUGGACCAUUACUGACGCUGAGGCGCGAAAGCGUGGGGAGCAAACAGGAUUAGAUACCCCCGUAGUCC
Molecule: ribosomal RNA, 424 nt
Filed under: uncultured bacterium
Lineage: Bacteria
Description: bacterial SSU rRNA
Rfam family: Bacterial small subunit ribosomal RNA
Source: RNAcentral